This 68-nucleotide small nucleolar RNA is filed under the name Amborella trichopoda. Its description in RNAcentral is "Small nucleolar RNA Z105". It matches the Rfam family "Small nucleolar RNA Z105". From Rfam's summary of the family: This family consists of several snoRNA Z105 sequences which are members of the C/D class of snoRNA which contain the C (UGAUGA) and D (CUGA) box motifs. This family seems to be found exclusively in plants. C/D box small nucleolar RNAs are known to act as a methylation guides for 18S ribosomal RNA. The record is from Rfam by way of RNAcentral. Lineage: Eukaryota; Viridiplantae; Streptophyta; Magnoliopsida; Amborellales; Amborellaceae.
GCAUUGUGAUGAAGAUCUGAACAUUUCUGAUGUUUCCUGACUGAUACAAAACCUCCUACUCAUUCUGA